AUGCAAGUGUUCUUGCAGCUUGGACUCGGUCUCGUAUUGCUUGCAUCACAGUAUGCACCUGGAACUGCGGUUCCUAGUUCAGGAUGCCGAAGACAGUGCGGUACUGUUGAAAUACCGUACCCAUUCGGCAUCGACCCGGGCUGCUCGCUCGCAGAAGGCUUCGACCUCAGUUGCAAGGUCCAAGAUGGCGUCCAGAAGCCAUUCAAGGGUGCCUUUGAGGUGCUCGACAUUUCUUUGACCGAAGGCACGACCCGGGUGCUUAAUUACAUCCUGGGGUACUGCUACAACACCUCCACAGGGAGCAUGGAGUAUUUUGGCCGAUAUGCGGGGUUCAAUGAAGGAGAUCCUUCUUCUCCCUACCGGUUCUCCGACGUCCAGAACAAGUUCACGGUCAUCGGGUGCAACGCCCUCAUCUUGAUAUACGACUUUGAUGCCACGGGCUACCAGGGCUUGGGCGUCGCAACAUGCCGCAAUUUGUCUGACUUGGUGGACGGAUCCUGCUCCGGCAUGGGCUGCUCCCAGACUGCAAUACCGAAGAGGAUGUACUACUAUGACAUAGCCUUCUCAGAAAUAGUCAACACAAGUGAAAUUUGGGAGUUCAACCGUUGUAGCUAUGUGGUACUGAUGGAGGCCGCGGCAUUCAAGUUCAGCACUGCCUACAUAAGCACAAAUAAGUUCAAUGAAACAUAUGAUGGACGGGUGCCAAUGAUUCUUGACUGGGCUAUGAGAGAUGUGAAGUCAUGUGAUGUUGCAGAACAGAAUAAGACGGGCACUUAUGCAUGCCUCAGCAGCAACAGCAAAUGCGUGAAUUCCACCAAUGAUCAAGGUUACAUGUGUAAUUGCACCAAUGGUUAUGAAGGCAACCCUUAUCUCCGAGAUGGAUGCAAAGACGUUAAUGAAUGCAAUCACAACCCAUGCCCUUCAGAUGGUUUUUGUCGCAAUAUCGGUGGAGAAUACCAGUGUUCUUGUGGACUUGGGAAAAAAUAUAUCCAAAAAAGCAAUACAUGCAACACUAACAUUGUCUUAACAAUAGGAAUUACAAUGGGAAUAUUCGGCCUAAUGGUUAUCAUCAUGUUCACAGUUUUUUGCGGGCAGAUUAUAAUGCAAAAGAGAAAACUGAAAAAAGUUAAGCAGGAGUAUUUUCAUCAGCAUGGAGGCUUACUUUUGUUUGACAAGAUGAAAUCAGAAAAAGGUCUUGCUUUCAAUGUAUUUUCAGAAGCUGAACUCAUACAUGCAACUGACAACUUCGACAAUAGUAGGAUACUUGGAAAAGGAGGCCAUGGAACGGUCUAUAAAGGGAUACUAAAGAACAUGCCUGUUGCAAUUAAAAGAUGUGCGAUAGUUGACGAAAGACAAAAGAAGGAAUUUGGCCAAGAGAUGCUUAUUUUGUCCCAAAUCAAUCACAAGAACAUUGUCAAACUCUUGGGUUGUUGCCUUGAGGUGGAAGUUCCAAUUCUAGUAUAUGAGUUUGUCCUAAACGGUACACUAUUCGAGCUUAUCCAUGGCAGAAACCAAGCAUUGCAAAUAUCCUUUAGCACUCUCUUAAGGAUUGCUCAUGAAGCAGCCGAAGGACUCAGCUUCCUGCAUUCAUAUGCGUCUCCCCCAAUAAUUCACGGUGAUGUAAAAACUUCCAACAUCUUGCUUGAUGAUAACUAUAUGGCCAAAGUGUCAGACUUCGGAGCUUCCAUACUAGCCCCAUCUGAUAAAGAGCAGUUUGUCACAAUGGUUCAAGGUACUUGUGGUUACCUUGACCCCGAAUACAUGCAAACAUGCCAGUUAACAGACAAAAGUGACGUAUACAGCUUUGGAGUUAUCCUUUUGGAGAUCCUCACGGGUCAGCUGCCACUGAAGCUUGAGGGGUCUGAGAAGCAAAGAAGCUUGUCAUUGAUUUUCCUAUCUGCAAUGAAGGAAAAUAAUCUAGAUGCCGUGUUGGCGAGCCACGUGAAAGGUCAAGAGAGCAUGGAGUUACUGAUAGGACUUGCGGACCUAGCUAAGAAGUGCCUAGAUAUGUGUGGUGAAAAUAGGCCCUCUAUGAAAGAGGUUGCCGAUGAGCUCAACCGAUUGAGGAAACUUUCAGUGCAUCCUUGGGCACGACUCGACAUCGAGACAAAUGCUGAAAACCUUCUCGGAGGAGAAUCUACGAGUGGGUAUGAAAUAGAAUUAAGCGGGUAUCCUACGGGUGAAAGUGAGGACCUACCCAUAAACCCAGGAAGUUCCUAUUAUGCAAGGUGA
Molecule: ribosomal RNA, 2232 nt
Filed under: Triticum aestivum (bread wheat)
Lineage: Eukaryota; Viridiplantae; Streptophyta; Magnoliopsida; Poales; Poaceae
Description: partial small subunit ribosomal RNA
Source: RNAcentral